GUCCACGCCCUAAACGAUGUCGACUGGUUGUUGGGAGAUUUAUUCUCUUAGUAACGAAGCUAACGCGUGAAGUCGACCGCCUGGGGAGUACGGUCGCAAGAUUAAAACUCAAAGGAAUUGACGGGGGCCCGCACAAGCGGUGGAUGAUGUGGAUUAAUUCGAUGCAACGCGAAAACCUUACCUACGCUUGACAUGUCUGAAAGAUCGAAGAGAUUUGAUUGUGCUCGAAAGAGAAUCAGAACACAGGUGCUGCAUGGCUGUCGU
Molecule: ribosomal RNA, 264 nt
Filed under: uncultured bacterium
Lineage: Bacteria
Description: partial 16S ribosomal RNA
Rfam family: Bacterial small subunit ribosomal RNA
Source: RNAcentral